GGCUCAGGAUUAACGGCUGGCGGCGUGCCUAAUACAUGCAAGUCGAAUGGUAGCAAUACCAUGGCGAACGGGUGAGUAACACGUAGGUAACCUGUCUUUAAGACGAGGAUAACCGUUGGAAACGACGGAUAAUACUCGAUAGGUGAUUUGAGGGCAUCCUUGGAUCAUUAAAGAUUUAUCACUUAGAGAGGGGGCCUGCGGCGCAUUAGCUAGAUGGCGGUGUAAUGGACCACCAUGGCGAUGAUGCGUAGCCGGACUGAGAGGUUGAACGGCCACAAUGGAACUGAGAACGGUCCAUACUCCUACGGGAGGCAGCAGUAGGGAAUUUUCGGCAAUGGGCGAAAGCCUGACCGAGCCAACGCCGCGUGAACGAAGAAGUAUUUCGGUAUGUAAAGUUCUUUUAUCGGGGAAGAAAAUAUUCAAAUUGACGGUACCUGAUGAAUAAGCUCCGGCUAACUACGUGCCAGCAGCUGC
This 474-nucleotide ribosomal RNA is filed under the name uncultured bacterium. Its description in RNAcentral is "bacterial SSU rRNA". It matches the Rfam family "Bacterial small subunit ribosomal RNA", at positions 21 to 518 of the family's 1533-position model. The record is from RNAcentral.